CAGUGCAAUGGAUAUCGUGUUGGACUUCAAAUCCAAAGGUCGUGGGUUCGAUUUUCACCUAA
This 62-nucleotide transfer RNA is filed under the name Trichonephila clavata. RNAcentral's name for it is "tRNA-Sup". The record is from RNAcentral. Lineage: Eukaryota; Metazoa; Arthropoda; Arachnida; Araneae; Nephilidae.